CAGCAGCCGCGGUAAUUCCAGCUCCAAUAGCGUAUACUAAAGUUGUUGCGGUUAAAAAGCUCGUAGUUGGAUCUUGGAAUGUGUUCAAGCGGGUCAGCUUCUGGCUGUGCGCUGCUUGACGUGUUCUUCUAUUUGGUUUUGGUGCGGUGCGCUUAACUGCGUGUCGCUCCCGGCCGAAACGUUUACCUUGAAAAAAUUAGAGUGUUCAAAGCAGACCUGUUUGAGUCUGAAUAUUCGUGCAUGGAAUAAUGAAAUAUGAAUUCGGUUCUAUUUUGUUGGUUUUCGGAACUCGAGUUAAUGAUCAAGAGGGACAGACGGGGGCAUUCGUACUCUGCCGUUAGAGGUGAAAUUCUUGGAUCGGCGGAAGACGCGCAACUGCGAAAGCAUUUGCCAAGAAUGUUUUCUUUAAUCAAGAACGAUAGUCGGAGGUUCGAAGACGAUCAGAUACCGUCCUAGUUUCGACUGUAAACUAUGCCAGCUAACGAUCAGACAGAGUUCUCUACGACUUGUCUGGCAGUUUCCGGGAAACCAAAGCGUUUGGGUUCCGGGGGAAGUAUGGUUGCAAAGCUGAAACUUAAAGGAAUUGACGGAAGGGCACCACCAGGAGUGGAGCCUGCGGCUUAAUUUGACUCAACACGGGGAAACUCACCCGGCCCGGACACAGUGAGGAUUGACAGAUUGAGAGUUCUUUCUUGAUUCUGUGGGUGGUGGUGCAUGGCCGUUCUUAGUUGGUGGAGCGAUUUGUCUGGUUAAUUCCGAUAACGAACGAGACUCUGGCAUGUUAAAUAGUCGCGGAAGUGCGUAUGCACUUGCCGAAUUGACUUCUUAGAGGGACUAGUGAUUUUAAUUCACACGAGAUUGAGCAAUAACAGGUCUGUGAUGC
RNAcentral lists this ribosomal RNA (883 nucleotides) under uncultured eukaryote. RNAcentral's name for it is "SSU rRNA". It matches the Rfam family "Eukaryotic small subunit ribosomal RNA", at positions 568 to 1470 of the family's 1831-position model. The record is from RNAcentral.